Molecule: non-coding RNA, 262 nt
Organism: Theobroma cacao (cacao)
Lineage: Eukaryota; Viridiplantae; Streptophyta; Magnoliopsida; Malvales; Malvaceae
Source: RefSeq, a predicted model, not a curated record
UGAAAAUUCAAGGAAACAAGUGAAAAAAAGGUGGUGAGUCCUCCGAUAAAGGCAAGGAAAUUGCAUCCGAGGACCAGUAGUCAGAGUACUUCGAAAAUUCGUACACUAGACAUUGGGGCGAGUUUUCUGUGGACCAGCCUAUUAGAGGGGCACCUAAUCCUGAUAUAUUUUACCUCUGUUGGAAAAGUGAGUAGGGUAACUCUCGAGGUAUGACCUUAGAGUUCACUUCACGUCAAACCACCUCGUGAUGAUGAACUCAGCC